CCCUUAGAUGUUCUGGGCCGCACGCGUGCUACACUGAGUGGAUCAGCGGGUCAGGUUGCGCGAAAGCGUUUCCUAAUCUUUAAAUCCGCUCGUGAUGGGGAUUGACGGUUGCAAUUUUCUGUCAUGAACGAGGAAUACCUUGUAAGCGCGGGUCAUCAUCCCGCGCUGAAUACGUCCCUGCCCUUUGUACACACCGCCCGUCGCUACUACCGAUUGAACGUUUUAGUGAGGCAUUUGGACCGACGCAUCUCAGUUUAACCGCUGGUUUGUGUUGGAAAGACUUCCAAACUUGAGCGUUUAGAGGAAGUAAAAGUCGUAACA
This 321-nucleotide ribosomal RNA is filed under the name uncultured eukaryote. Its description in RNAcentral is "partial 18S ribosomal RNA". It matches the Rfam family "Eukaryotic small subunit ribosomal RNA", at positions 1470 to 1796 of the family's 1831-position model. The record is from RNAcentral.